Molecule: long non-coding RNA, 694 nt
Filed under: Homo sapiens (human)
Lineage: Eukaryota; Metazoa; Chordata; Mammalia; Primates; Hominidae
Description: HSALNT0342612
Source: RNAcentral
GUUUGCUCGGCUGGCUCAUUUUACUUAGCUGCUGAAGAAGGAGAGUCGCAUUCAGCCAGGGAUCACUGAGCAUUCAAAAGUCCAUCUGAGACCUGCUUUCAUUGCACUGCCUCGUGAGGAGCUGUAGGAGAAGAUAUCAUAACUAUUCCCCACUUCUAAUUGUUAGAAGCAACAGCUGUCUAUCAAGAACAAUCUGAGGAUUGUGCACAAAUUGAUUUGGUUCUAUCAAGUGCUGGCUUUCGAUUCCAGUCUGACUUCACUACCACAGGAGCUUCUUGCUCAGGCUUCUGUUCCGGCUCCAUUCUCUCCCUGCCAUUAUAAUGCCAUCCACUGCAGCACCAUCUCUUCAAUCAGAAAACAUUCAUGAUCUCAUUCCACCUGAAGCCAGUGCCUCUGUAAUGUGUAGCAGAAUCCUAUGGAGAAGUUGUAAAAACACAAAAUGUUGGCCCCACCCCAAGAGUUUCUGAUUUUGCAGGUCUGGAGAGGGCCUGUGAUACGUACUUCUAACAAGCUCCCAGGCGAUGCUAAUGUUGCUGGUCUAGAAACACACUUUGAGAGCCACUGUUUUACAAUGUAUUCACCCAGCUUAUGCAAUCAACUACUAUCACAGCAAAGUCCAAAGAAUGCUCCUUAUUUGUUUGUUAUACUGGAGUUUGGCUUGGCUAAAUAUUAUUUGAAACUGAAUGGCUGUUGA